Juglans regia (Persian walnut) is the source of this 86-nucleotide small nucleolar RNA. RefSeq annotates it as small nucleolar RNA R44/J54/Z268 family. Lineage: Eukaryota; Viridiplantae; Streptophyta; Magnoliopsida; Fagales; Juglandaceae. The record is from RefSeq and is a predicted model, not a curated record. The transcript has a single exon.
ACUGCAAGUGAUGAUAAAAAGACAGGGACAUCAGCACUACUUUGUAGAAUGUUGACUUCGUCGUUUGGGAAUCUCUCUGAUGCAGU